UUCUUGGUCAUUUAGAGGAAGUAAAAGUCGUAACAAGGUUUCCGUAGGUGAACCUGCGGAAGGAUCAUUAAAGAAAUUUAAUAAUUUUGAAAAUGGAUUUUUUUGUUUUGGCAGGAGCAUGAGAGCUUUUACUGGGCAAGAAGACAAGAGAUGGAGAGUCCAGCCGGGCCUGCGCUUAAGUGCGCGGUCUUGCUAGGCUUGUAAGUUUCUUUCUUGCUAUUCCAAACGGUGAGAGAUUUCUGUGCUUUUGUUAUAGGACAAUUAAAACCGUUUCAAUACAACACACUGUGGAGUUUUCAUAUCUUUGCAACUUUUUCUUUGGGCAUUCGAGCAAUCGGGGCCCAGAGGUAACAAACACAAACAAUUUUAUCUAUUCAUUAAAUUUUUGUCAAAAACAAGAAUUUUCGUAACUGGAAAUUUUAAAAUAUUAAAAACUUUCAACAACGGAUCUCUUGGUUCUCGCAUCGAUGAAGAACGCAGCGAAAUGCGAUACGUAAUGUGAAUUGCAGAAUUCCGUGAAUCAUCGAAUCUUUGAACGCACAUUGCGCCCCUUGGUAUUCCAGGGGGCAUGCCUGUUUGAGCGUCAUUUCCUUCUCAAACAUUCUGUUUGGUAGUGAGUGAUACUCUUUGGAGUUAACUUGAAAUUGCUGGCCUUUUCAUUGGAUGUUUUUUUUCCAAAGAGAGGUUUCUCUGCGUGCUUGAGGUAUAAUGCAAGUACGGUCGUUUUAGGUUUUACCAACUGCGGCUAAUCUUUUUUUAUACUGAGCGUAUUGGAACGUUAUCGAUAAGAAGAGAGCGUCUAGGCGAACAAUGUUCUUAAAGUUUGACCUCAAAUCAGGUAGGAGUACCCGCUGAACUUAAGCAUAUCAAUAAGCGGAGGAA
RNAcentral lists this ribosomal RNA (882 nucleotides) under uncultured fungus. Its description in RNAcentral is "eukaryotic LSU rRNA". The stretch from base 433 to 586 matches the Rfam family "5.8S ribosomal RNA". Lineage: Eukaryota; Fungi. The record is from RNAcentral.